This is a non-coding RNA of Salmo salar (Atlantic salmon), 54 nucleotides long. NCBI's taxonomy places the organism in Eukaryota, Metazoa, Chordata, Actinopteri, Salmoniformes, Salmonidae. The record is from Rfam.
UGUAUGCACUACUGUACGUCACUUUGGACAAAAGAGUCUGCUAAAUGGCAUAUA